RNAcentral lists this ribosomal RNA (461 nucleotides) under uncultured bacterium. RNAcentral's name for it is "partial 16S ribosomal RNA". It matches the Rfam family "Bacterial small subunit ribosomal RNA", at positions 338 to 795 of the family's 1533-position model. The record is from RNAcentral.
CCUACGGGUGGCAGCAGUGAGGAAUAUUGGUCAAUGGGCGCGAGCCUGAACCAGCCAAGUCGCGUGCAGGAGGACGGCCCUACGGGUUGUAAACCUCUUUUGCCGGGGAGCAACGGGCCUCACGUGUGGCGCCUCUGAGAGUACCCGGAAAAAAAGCCUCGGCUAACUCCGUGCCAGCAGCCGCGGUAAUACGGAAGGUCCGGGGGUUAUCCGGAUUUAUUGGGUUUAAGGGGAGCGUAGGCCGCAUGUCAAGCGUGCUGUGAAAUGUCCGGGCUCAACCCAGGCCUUGCAGCGCGAACUGGCGUGCUUGAGUCCGCGGAAAGCAGGCGGAAUUCGUCGUGUAGCGGUGAAAUGCUUAGAUAUGACGAAGAACCCCGAUUGCGAAGGCAGCUUGCUGCAGCGGAACUGACGCUGAUGCUCGAAAGCGCGGGUAUCGAACAGGAUUAGAUACCCGUGUAGUC